Corvus hawaiiensis (hawaiian crow) is the source of this 3912-nucleotide long non-coding RNA. RefSeq lists it as uncharacterized. Lineage: Eukaryota; Metazoa; Chordata; Aves; Passeriformes; Corvidae. The record is from RefSeq and is a predicted model, not a curated record. The transcript has 2 exons.
UCCUUGGAAGUCUGAAUAUAGUGUCUGUUCAGAAAGAAGUGCUGAAAGCUGUUCUCAUAAAAGGUGAUUCCAAUCUUCCAAGGAACUGGGCAGUUCUGGCAAGGAAAAAGUAGAUUUUGUCUGCAUCUCAUCUCUGGUAAGUUCCUGUGUCUGGCAAAAAGGAGAGUCGACUGUCUCAUUUGGAAAACUAGGAUGUUUCAGCAUGCUGUGACUGUUUUAAAAUUCUUUGCACUUGUAAGAAAAAGAAAUCAACCCACCAAACCUGCAAAUCAACCACAAACAGGCAAAUAUAACAGAAAAGGUGCUCUAGCUACCACUCUCGGGUGCAAAACAAACCUGUAAUAAAACCCAGCUGUAAUUAACAGAAGAAUAAAUGUACAUUUCCUCACAUCUCAAUCAACAUUUGACCUGGAGGCUGGGAUCCUGAAAGGAGAGCUUCCUUUUGAAGAGGAGUUGGCAGAAGAACGCUGCAUUUCACUGGUGCAGUUAGUGGGAGAUGAAUAUUUUAUUGGUGUAACAGAGGAGGGUUUACAGCCAUGCAAAUGUUACAUAAACAGAACUGUGUAAAGGAUAAUGAUAUGCUGGAGCUAUGACACUCAUCUUGUUUUUACAUUGCAAUCUAAUCUUUUCACUGUUAUUUAUCUCAGCUAAAGGGUUUUUAUAUUUGAUUAACAAAAAAGCACUCCCAAAGAUAAUCUAGGGCUGUGCAAAAGCUCUGCUGGGAUCAGUUCCAGCUUGGGCAGUGAGUUCCUGAAGCGCUGAGGGACUCUGCAAACCUUGCCACUCCUGCAAAGGGCUUCCUCUGCUCAACUUGCUUUAUUGCCUGAAGAGCAGACCAAUAUUUCUUUUUCUUUUCAAUUAAAAGCCAAAGUUCUCUGCUCAACACUGUCUCUGCCCAGGAGAAAAAGAAACAGCAAGAGCAAAUCCCAACCCACAGAUGUUCGUAGUGAAAUUUGCUUUGUUACCCAAACACGCUGCAGCUCCACUCCUGGCACAACGCCUCUGAAGACAGAGGACAAUUGUCCUCAGUGAUUAUUUUGUUCUCUUCCUAUCUCAGGUGACAUUUUCUGUCCUUGUCCUCAUUACUGGACUCUUUUCAGUUGGUCCAGAUCCUUUUUGAGGUGCCCAGCCUGGCCACAGGGCAUCCCUUGCAGUUAUAUGGAGAGAGCAAAGCUGCACCCUCUAGAGACUCAGAGAGACAGCCGUUCAUUUAUCUGUAGCUAGCAUGGAGUGAUGUCACAUAGGAUUAUAGUAAUUUUUUAGCUCUGGCUUCAGUCUGGGACAGUUUGAAAUUGCAGCCUGAAGGUUGAAAAAGAUAUCAUGUACUUUCUCAACUUUAUCACAGAAAUGCUUCAGACUUGCUUAAACAGAAGUGGUAGAAGCUUUAUUGCUAAAAUUGAAAGAGUUGUUUGUUUCAUCUACCUCAAUCCAGAUGUCAUCAUAUCCAGGCGUUGCCUUUACAUAAACUAAAUAUAACUUUAAUAUGACUAUAAUGUGCUAUCAACCACUUAUGUCUUUGUAAAUCCUGCUAUUUAGAAUCAACCAUUAAUCAUUACAUUCAAAUAUGGUAAUUGCCUGUGCAAACCCCUUGAUCCAAAAUGACAUCCACAAAUUAAAUUAUAUUAACCGUGCUGUUAUUACUAAAGCCUGAAACUUGCCCUCAUUACAGGAGAAAAAUUAUGGCAACCUACCAAACAUAUGCACUUAACAAAAUUAUUAAUAUUUUGAACAAAAAUGCAGUCUUUCAGAAGAGGUUAGCUUCUGGAUUACAGGAUGCCCACAUUAAAAUCUGAUCUAUGGCAAUUCAUUUCCUCAAGCCUGUUCUCUUUGCCUGCAUUUCUCCUGGGCAACAAGGACUCAGAAGGGUUAAUACAAGAUUUCUAAGGUGAGCCCAUGUCCAAGAUAAAUGUAUUUAUGUUCUCCUAUGGAAGUGGGCACUGCUCAGAAAGCCAACAAGAUGGACAGUCAGUGCUGAGCUUACAGGAGUCAGACAGCCUUGUAUUUAUAAAAACACAUCGUAUUAUGAUAGGAGUUCUUUCCCUUUUCUGUUCUUUGAGCCAUUCUGUGGGAGAUCUUGGAUGGGAACAUGGAGAAAGUGCCUUGUUGUUUCAAGUUGCAUUGAAAUAGCUCAGCAGGGUGCUGCACAGAUGGCUGGUGCACUGAGGAAGGUGGCAGGGCUGGGUGUUGGUAAGAAACAGGGUUUUCUGAAAGGAUUUGGCCUCUAAGUUUUGCCUGGCACUUCAUUGUUGUGAUGAGCUGCCUGUAUGUAUUUUACAAAGUGGGGGUUGCAAUUCUCACAGUCUUGCAAUCUGUUUGGGAUCUGCUUUAGGGCUUUUUCUGUUUCUGUAUCAGAUCCUUGCCAAACCUUGGCCACAGCAGGGAAAUUGUGCUUCCAGGAGAGUCUGCUUCAGCAGAGAAAUAGAAUCGUUUUAUUUGAAACAAUGGCCACAGAAAAUUAUUUCCAGACACUGGACAGUGGCUCUGAAGAACAAGGAAUGGGAAAUGGCACAGAAACCUAAGGCAGAGAAAAGAACCUUGAUCUGAUCCCAAACCUCCUGUGGAAGGCCAGUGCAGGAGUGGGGAGCUGGAGCUGUCUCCAUUGGGAGCAUCAAUGCCAGGCUGGAGCUGUGGCUCGUGGCUGCUCCCUCAGAGCAGGGACCUGCACUCGGCUGUGGCUGAUCAGUCACGGCUCUGGUGAGCACUUGGGUCUCUCUGAGUGGGAGAUUCCCAGGGUCUAGCCUUAAAUGUCUGAAUUUCUGGCAUUUAGUGUUGGAAGUCAGUUUUGCAUUCAAAUACAACUGCAGAACUCAGUCCUGUGUCUGUCCUGGUCAAACAGCUGUUCCCCUCAUGAAGAACAUUUUUGUGCUUUCCUUUGUCUUUUAAAUGACCUUAAGAGACCUUAGUCUCUCUCCUUUAUAAUACAAAUGCUCUUGGCUUUGACAUUUUUUAGUCUGGCUGUGGUCUUAUUAAUUUUGUCAGGGUGGCAGAAGUGUUUGAUACAAUUACAGGUCAUAUUGGGAGAAGGAGGCAGAACUGCAAAGUUUAUAACUAGCAGUAAUCAGCCCAGCUGAAUUAAUGAAACCAUUGUCCUAAAUUCAAAACCAGGUGGGGUGGAUUGUUUAGGAAGUUGGCCAAACUGUAUAGGCAAAAGUAUGUGUUAAUAAUACAUAGCACUGUUUCUUUAUGCAGUGGGAGAGAAACUACAUAAGAAGAUUGUCAAUAUUUGUUUGAUAGUAGUGUUAAACUUUAAUGACAAACCAAAAUAUUUUAGCAUUUUGAGGGGUGAAGGAACUCAUGACACGUUGUGAGCAUUAACACCAACUUUGGGUCUGGAGAUCUUAGCUACAAGAAAACACAAAUUUUCAAGCUGUGAUACCUGUCAAGUGCUUCUGGUUAUCCUUACGUUUAUGGUAAUAUUUUUACUUUUCUGUGAAAUUUCAUGGGAUUGUGGUUUAAUGGAUCAUUCCUCUAAUUAUUUUCCUUUCUGUGUUCAGGAAACAAUAAAUCUUUAAGACCCACCCUCCUCCUGCAAAUCACAGCAGUGCAUUUCUCAGCUUCUGCUGUUUGUUGGGUAAUAGAUCAAAUUUGUUCAACAAACAUAAGGCAAGAUCCAAGGAAGAUCCGGGAUGGAUGGAAGCUGAACUGCCCUUCCAUAUCUCUUGCAGGCAGCAGUUGCCACAAACCUUGGAGCUGCAGGCCUAAGUGUGUUGAUUUAAGGAGCGGCAACUAUAUGUUCCUAUAAAAGAAUAUCUUGUGCUCUGACAUGGUGUGUAAAACAUUGGGAUAUUUGCUACCAGAAAGCAAACAGGGAUCAGAGAGUUCCUGUUCUGCAUGGUGUCCCCCUGGCCGUAAGGUAAAGGAUUUCUGUUAUCUCAUGUAUACAUUUGGUAAAUAAAUCCUGUUGCACUCAAA